Molecule: long non-coding RNA, 2438 nt
Organism: Xenopus tropicalis (tropical clawed frog)
Lineage: Eukaryota; Metazoa; Chordata; Amphibia; Anura; Pipidae
Exons: 2
Source: RefSeq, a predicted model, not a curated record
AACGCCUUCUGCUGCGAUGCCAAAAUCAGCGAUUUUCAUGUGUCCGUCGCUGGUAAGCAGGAUGUUGUCUGGCUUAAGAUCUCUGCAAGAGAAGGAUAAUGGUGCUUGAUGCCCAGCAGAUUGCUGAGGCUGCCUCCGCCCGCAUACUCCAUGACCAGAAAGGCAUAUUGCUGAGUGCAGAGACAAAAGGGAAGAGAGUGAAACACAGGAACAAGAAACCCCAAACUAUUGCAUGUAAUACAGGCAUGUCCCUCAGAAAAACUAGAUACAGAAAGAACAAGUAUGUUGUGUAAUACUCUUACAUGGCUUUUGUUGCUCAUAUCAUGGCAUUUAGCUGAGCUUUGGGGAUAGGCAACUAGUAAACCAAACGGUAUGGCAGCAUUGGAAGUAACUUACUUUGGUCUGAAAGGCUGCAAGGCCACGGCACAAGAAUGGACUGCCGCAAGCAACCUUCAGGAUUCUGGCCUCCUUCUCUAUCGUUUUCUUCUCCUCGUCCUUAGGUGUCUUCCUGAUGACUUUUACAGCCACGUGUUCUUUCUUCGUGGGGAUGGAAGCCAAAAACACCUGAAAAGUCAAAAAAGAAUAAUGUGCAUCUUCCAAAGGGCUAAUUGAUUAAAGGUUCUGUGCACUUUAACAUGCAUGCAAGUUGAUAAAUAGUGGGCACAGAAUAAUGAAGAAUGGACAUCAUGGCACCACAAGAGGCAGCACUGGAGUGGAUGGUUAUUAAAUUUGCUUUAGUUGCACCUUGAAGCUGCUGUGGGCUUUUAAUGGGCCUUAUGCACAAGGUGCAAAGCCACACAAGACAACUAAUGACAUGUAUUUAGAAAGCACCAACAUACUUGGUAGUGCUGUACAGUACUUAUAGAUUGCCUCUCAUUGCACCCUGGUGCCACUUUUCAUCUCUAUAGCAAAUGAUCCCAGUGAACCCCACUGUAGAAGAAUUUCCAUUAUCUCCUAUUUGUACUGGGCCAAGGAUCUUUUUUACCCAAGGUAGGGAUAGAUAUAUAACCCCACAUUAACCCACCAUAAUAUUUGCCAUGUUUGGAACAAUUAGAGGUUGAUAGAGACCAGUUAAUACAGAAGCAUAAGGAGAAAAAAGCUAACCCGAUGAGCUGCUCAUAUAUUUUGCUGCUGUUCAUACCAAAAUAGACUUAGGAGUAUAUUUAUUAUACUGUGUAAAAUGUGGAGUAAAACAUUACUGGUGAUGUUGCUCAUUGCAGCCAGUCAGAUGCUUUGCUUUUUUAACCUUGAGCAACAUCACCAGUAAUGCUUCAUUUCACUUAUUACCCCUUAUUGUUUGAAACUGUGCUUACCUUACUUUUUUUUUUUUUUUUUAAAAACUUGCCCUUUAUGCAAUGUCCUUUGUCACCUACCCAUAGUUCCAUACCUAGCCCUGCCCCCCAUUUCGAUUAGUAGAGUUUUUGUGUCUGUACAUGUAAUAUUUACAACAUAAAAUUUUUCAGUUAUUAAACUACAAGUUAACAUCCACAAGCCCCAAUUCCAUGUCAUACUUCCAACGUCUUCUGUUUUAUUGUAGAUAAUAUACAGGUCCCUUUCUAUUGAGCACAUCACUCACCUUGCCAAAUGUGCCUCGGCCAAGAAUCGAGUGGAACUCAUAGUUGGUAAUAAUGUGUUCCGGUAGACGCUCAGCUUGAAUGGGCUGUCUCUCCUGGCUUCUUCUUUCUUCUGGGAGAAAAGGAAUCUUAUUAACAGCACAUUCAGCAAAUAACCACCAGUACCACAAGCAACUGAAAUGUAAAGUCUCGUUCUAUGGUUGGAUUACUUGGCCAGUUUUUCUACACUCUUAUUUAAACAGUUUAUUGUUUGAAGAUGCUCUUAUGGCUUGUUUGCUAAACCAAUUUUAUAAUAAUUUUUUUUUUUUACCUGUCUGAAAUUUGUUACAGUGAGGUCACAGAAAUUUAUGGCACAGCAUAACCCCAGCAUUUUAUGCCAAAAAUAAAAGACAGAGUGGCCCCAGAAAUAAAUGAUUACAUGCCCCCUAGCCUUUCAUGAUUCAGAAUGGCCCCCAGCAUUGUGUGACAUGUCAUGGCCCUUGAAACAUCUAACAUAUUGCAGAUCAUGGCCCUCUAGCAUUCUGAUACAGCAUAGCCCCUCUGCUCCAUCCUAUGACAGCUGAUGCAGGAGCAAAGCUCAGCUACUGAAAUAAGUUUAGUGCUGGUGUAGAAAUAAAGAAGUAGAGUGGCAUCCUUACCCACUUUUAGCCCUGGUCACACCUUUUAGCAAAUAGUCAGUACUAUUUGGUUAUAUAGGUCAAAGUCGAUCAGCAAUUUAUUUAAUUAUGUAUAUUCAGUACUAUACAAACUAAAAAACUAGUAAAUAAGGUCAAACCGGUAAGUUAAUGCACUCAGUACUGGUCUUGUGUUAUGAAACCUAAAUAGUUAAAUCUAAAUAAUAAUAAACAUUUGCUUUCUGGCUGA